Molecule: ribosomal RNA, 159 nt
Filed under: Curvularia sp.
Lineage: Eukaryota; Fungi; Ascomycota; Dothideomycetes; Pleosporales; Pleosporaceae
Description: 5.8S ribosomal RNA
Rfam family: 5.8S ribosomal RNA
About the family: 5.8S ribosomal RNA (5.8S rRNA) is a component of the large subunit of the eukaryotic ribosome. It is transcribed by RNA polymerase I as part of the 45S precursor that also contains 18S and 28S rRNA.
Source: RNAcentral
CAACUUUCAACAACGGAUCUCUUGGUUCUGGCAUCGAUGAAGAACGCAGCGGAAUGCUAUACAGUACUGUGGAUUGCAUAAGUCUUUGAAUAAUCGAAGAUUUGAACGCAUCUUGCGCCCUUUUGUAUUUCCAAGGUCGGUGCGUUCCUACCGAUUUCA